GGGGGCUGGUCGGUGGGGUUAACAAAAAAGGGAUAAUAUCCUACUAACCAGUAAAAUACUAAGUAGCAAUUUUUUAAAUGAGGUAAAUUGUCAGAUACUGACAUGGAAUAAUUGUACUUUAUGUGUAAAAGUUACAGAACAACACUUAUGAUAGAGUUUAUGCAGACACAGAGUUUAUACAUGGCUACUUCUGAGAAGAAUAUAUUGCAAAGGAAUGAGGUAAUUUUAUUUUACUUCUCACCAUUCUCUACCAUUACAAUUAUUUUCUUAAGCAUAUAUAUUUUCACAAUAAUUAUUAAGGACUGUGCAAGAGGAGGUGGAGCAUAAAUCAAAACAAUGGAGACAAUAUGAUACUACUGAAGAUGCAAGUAUAAGUGAUAGAACAUAAAAAAAGUUUUGAAAGGAAAGAAUAUACAAAAAGAUAUUGGAGGCUGGGCGCAGUGGCUCACAUCUGUAAUCCCAGCACUUUGAGGCUGAGGCAAGCAGAUUGCUUGAGCCCAGGAGUUCGAGACCAGCCUGGGCAACAUGGUGAAACCCCAUUUCUACAAAAAGUACAAAAAUUAGCUGGGCAUGGUGGCACAUGCCUGUGGUCCCAGUUACUCAGGAGGCUGGGGUGGGAGGAUCACUUGAGUCAGGGAGGCAGAGUUUGCGGUGAGCCAAGAUCUUGCCACUACACUCCAGCCUGGGUGACAGAGUGAGAUCCUGUCUCAGACGAAAAAGGAAGCAGCAAUUGGAAAAUGAAAUAAAGGAAGUAAAAAUGAAACUAGGUAUGAGUCAUAACUCAGGAGUGCUGUUUAUACCAGAUGAAUCUACAAAGCCAAGAACAGGAA
This 830-nucleotide long non-coding RNA is filed under the name Homo sapiens (human). RNAcentral describes it as "HSALNT0112200". Lineage: Eukaryota; Metazoa; Chordata; Mammalia; Primates; Hominidae. The record is from RNAcentral.